GACGAACGCUGGCGGCGUGCUUAACACAUGCAAGUCGAACGGAAAGGCCCUGCUUUUGUGGGGUGCUCGAGUGGCGAACGGGUGAGUAACACGUGAGUAACCUGCCCUUGACUUUGGGAUAACUUCAGGAAACUGGGGCUAAUACCGGAUAGGAGCUCCUGCUGCAUGGUGCGGGUUGGAAAGUUUCGGCGGUUGGGGAUGGACUCGCGGCUUAUCAGCUUGUUGGUGGGGUAGUGGCUUACCAAGGCUUUGACGGGUAGCCGGCCUGAGAGGGUGACCGGCCACAUUGGGACUGAGAUACGGACCAGACUCCUACGGGAGGCAGCAGUGGGGAAUAUUGCACAAUGGGCGGAAGCCUGAUGCAGCAACGCCGCGUGCGGGAUGACGGCCUUCGGGUUGUAAACCGCUUUCGACUGUGACGAAGCGUGAGUGACGGUAAUGGGUAAAGAAGCACCGGCUAACUACGUG
This 468-nucleotide ribosomal RNA is filed under the name uncultured bacterium. Its description in RNAcentral is "partial 16S ribosomal RNA". It matches the Rfam family "Bacterial small subunit ribosomal RNA", at positions 28 to 507 of the family's 1533-position model. The record is from RNAcentral.